UGACAGAGGUCAAACGUUUUCUGUAAGUCUUCACAAGGUUUUCACACACUGUUGCUGGUAUUUUGGCCCAUUCCUCCAUGCAGAUCUCCUCUAGAGCAGUGAUGUUUUGGGGCUGUUGCUGGGCAACACAGACUUUUUUUUCUCAUUUUGUCUGUCAUAGUUGAAGUGUACCUAUGAUGAAAAUUACAGGCCUCUCUCAUCUUUUUAAGUGGGAGAACUUGCACAAUUGGUGGCUGACUAAAUAUUUUUUCCCCCCACUGUAUUUACUUAACAAAUAAGGAAUACUCAAUGUGCACUUAUGAAUCAUAACAAUUUUAAUAUAAUACAUAAUAUAUAAUAAUCAAACAUCAAACAUACAACUGAUGUCUCUCCUGAGUUCUGCACCCCACCUAAGGGCACAGCUGAUUUUAUACUUAAUAUAGAUCGCUUGUGCAACGUAUAGUGGCAUAGUUUUUAGACACAUAGCAACAGUAUCUUAUUAUAAGGCCUGCAGCAAAACAUAUGAAUCUUUUUAAAUAUAUUUUUAUUUCACCUUUAUUUAACCAGGUAGGCUAGUUGAGAACAAGUUCUCAUUUACAACUGUGACAUGGCCAAGGUAAAGCAGAGCAGUGUGAACAGACAACAACACAGAGUUACACAUGCAGUAAACAAUAAACAAGUCAAUAACCCAGUAGAAAAAAAAAAUCUAUAUACAUUGUGUGCAAAAGGCAUGAGGAGGUAGGCAUAAAAUAGGCCAUAGGAGCGAAUAAUUACAAUUUAGCAGAUUAACACUGGAGUGAUAAAUGAUCAGAUGGUCAUGUGCAAGUAGAGAUACUGGUGUGCAAAAGAGCAGAAAAGUAAAUAAAUAAAAACAGUAUGGGGCUGAGGUAGGUAAAUUGGGUGGGCUAUUAACAGAUGUACAGCUGCAGCGAUCGGUUAGCUGCUCAGAUAGCAGAUGUUUAAAGUUGGUGAGGGAAAUAAAAGUCUCCAACUUCAGCGAUUUUUGCAAUUCGUUCCAGUCACAGGCAGCAGAGAACUGGAAGGAAAGGAGGCCAAAUGAGGUCCCCUUAAGGUCCCCUAAAUCAAUAAUGAGAGGGGCUUUGGGACCCACCCCCUACAAAGUCAGGAACCAAUAUACACAGUCAGUUAGGAAAGCAAAGGCUAGCUUUUUCAAACAGAAAUUUGCAUCCUGUAGCACCAAUUCCAAAAUGUUUUGGGACACUGUAAAAUCCAUGGAGAAUAAGAGCACCUCCUCCCAGCUGCCCACUGCACUGAGGCUAGGAAACACUGUCACCACCGAUAAAUCUACGAUAAUCGAGAAUUACAAUAACCAUUUUUCUACUGCUGGCCAUGCUUUCCACCUGGCCACACAUACCCCGGGUCAACAGCCGUGCACCCCCCACAGCAACUUGCCCAAGCCUCCCCAUUUCUCCUUCACCCAAAUCCAGAUAGGUGUUCCGAUGUUCUGAAAGAGCUGCAAAAUCUGGACUCCUAAAAAUCAGCCGGGCUAGACAAUCUGGACCCUCUCUUUCUAAAAUGUUCCACCAUAAUUGUUGCAACCCCUGUCACUAGCCUGUUCAACCUCUCUUUCAUAUUGUCUGAGAUCCCCAAAGAUUGGAAAGCUGCGCUGUCAUCCCCCUCUUCAAAGGGGGAUGACCCUGCCUUUCUAAGGUCUUAGAAAGCCAAGUUAACAAACAGAUCACCGACCAUUUCGAAUCCCACCGUACCUUCUCUGCUAUGCAAUCUGGUUUCCGAGUUGGUCAUGGGUGCACCUCAGCCAUGCUCAAGGUCCUAAACAAUAACAUAACUGCCAUCGAUAAGAGACAAUACUGUGCAGCUGUAUUCAUCGACCUUGUCAAGGCUUUCGACUCUGUCAAUCACAUUCUUAUUGGCAGACUCAACAGCCUUGGUUUCUCAAAUUCUCUGAUCCACCUCAACGCAGACGACACCAUUCUGUAUACAUCUGUCCCUUCUUUGGACACUGCAUUAACAAACCUCCAAACAAGCUUCAAUGCCAUACAACACUCCUUCCGUGGCCUCCAACUGCUCUUAUAUGCUAGUAAAACUAAAUACAUGCUCUUCAACCGAUUGCUACCCACCCGCCCGACUAGCAUCAAUACUCUGGAUGGUUCUGACUUAGAAUAUGUGGACAACUACAAAUACCUAGGAGUCUGGUCAAGGUCCUUCUGAUCCUUGACUUCGGCGAUGUCAUUUACAAAAUAUCCUGCAACAAUCUACGCAGCAAAUUGGAUGUAGUCUAUCUCAGUACCAUCUGUUUUGUCACCAAAGCCCCAUAUACAUUCCCACCACUGCGACAUGUAUGCUCUCAUUGGCUGGCCCUCGCUACAUAUUCGUCGACCAAACCCACUGGCUCCAGAUCAUCUAUAAGUCUCUGCUAGGUAAAGCCCCACCUUAUCUCAGCUCACUUUGUCACCAAAGCAACACCCACCCGUAUCACGCGCUCCAGCAGGUAUAUUUCACUGGUCAUCCCCAAAGCCAACACCUCCUUUGGCCGCCUAUCCAUCCAGUUCUCUGCUGCCAAUGACUGGAACGAAUUGCAAAAAUCACUGAAGCUGGAGACUUAU
Oncorhynchus tshawytscha (Chinook salmon) is the source of this 2564-nucleotide long non-coding RNA. NCBI's taxonomy places the organism in Eukaryota, Metazoa, Chordata, Actinopteri, Salmoniformes, Salmonidae. The record is from Ensembl.